CUUGCAUCAAAUGUAUUCUACCUCCCUUGCUAACAUGGAAUUCUCCAGAAGGCUGCUGGAGAAGGACGGUCGCUUCGCAGAUGUGCACAUCGAGGGCAGAGCUGGAGGUCUGGU
Molecule: long non-coding RNA, 114 nt
Filed under: Cavia porcellus (domestic guinea pig)
Lineage: Eukaryota; Metazoa; Chordata; Mammalia; Rodentia; Caviidae
Description: lncRNA (ENSCPOG00000034231.1)
Source: RNAcentral